This 298-nucleotide unclassified non-coding RNA is filed under the name Basidiomycota sp. RNAcentral's name for it is "partial contains small subunit ribosomal RNA, internal transcribed spacer 1, and 5.8S ribosomal RNA". The stretch from base 1 to 47 matches the Rfam family "Eukaryotic small subunit ribosomal RNA", at positions 1785 to 1831 of the family's 1831-position model. Lineage: Eukaryota; Fungi; Basidiomycota. The record is from RNAcentral.
AAAGUCGUAACAAGGUUUCCGUAGGUGAACCUGCGGAAGGAUCAUUACUAAUGUUUACACAUUCUUAACAAAUCAACCUUAUGUGAACCUAAUUGACGUUGACUGGGACCAGUCUGCGGGUUGCUAGCCCUGGUCUAUUUAUAGGCUGGGAAAGGCGAUUCGUCGGCAGGGACCAGUUGACCCCAACAUACAUAUUUAACACUUAUGCCUUGAUAUCCGUCCUUGAACCUGGGCAGUAAUGUCUGAGUCUUGGACAACUAAGGGUAAAAAACUUUUAGCAACGGAUCUCUUGGCUCUC